Molecule: ribosomal RNA, 549 nt
Filed under: uncultured bacterium
Lineage: Bacteria
Description: partial 16S ribosomal RNA
Rfam family: Bacterial small subunit ribosomal RNA
Source: RNAcentral
UGGGGAAUUUUGGACAAUGGGCGAAAGCCUGAUCCAGCAAUGCCGCGUGUGUGAAGAAGGCCUUCGGGUUGUAAAGCACUUUUGUCCGGAAAGAAAUCCUUGGCUCUAAUACAGUCGGGGGAUGACGGUACCGGAAAAAAUAAGCACCGGCUAACUACGUGCCAGCAGCCGCGGUAAUACGUAGGGUGCAAGCGUUAAUCGGAAUUACUGGGCGUAAAGCGUGCGCAGGCGGUUUGCUAAGACCGAUGUGAAAUCCCCGGGCUCAACCUGGGAACUGCAUUGGUGACUGGCAGGCUAGAGUAUGGCAGAGGGGGGUAGAAUUCCACGUGUAGCAGUGAAAUGCGUAGAGAUGUGGAGGAAUACCGAUGGCGAAGGCAGCCCCCUGGGCCAAAUACUGACGCUCAUGCACGAAAGCGUGGGGAGCAAAACAGGAUUAGAUACCCUGGUAGUCCACGCCCUAAAACGAUGUCAACUAGUUGUUGGGGAUUCAUUUCCUUAGUAACAUAGCUAACGCGUGAAGUUGACCGCCUGGGGAGUACGGUCGCAAGA